UAUUCACUUGCAGAAAAUUUCCCUUUCAGAAGAAAAACAAUUCUCUUCGAUCUAUUCUCCACUGAGAUCUCUUCGUUAAAUCUCCAUUCCUCUUCUCAAUCGAAAUUAUUUGUUCAACUAAUCUUUACUAGGUUCCGAAUUUAGGGUUCAGGAUUUUGAUUUGAUCGAAUAUUCAAUCAUCAUCUAACCUGUAACCCUAAACUCGAAAUUAGGUGAAUUGGUUGAAUUAGUUCCACGUUGAUUACUUUACGAAUCAUCAACCAUAUGUUUUCUAACUCGAAGUUUAGAUUUGGAAAAAAAUUCUUAUCGAUGAACUAUUUGAGGUUAAUGCUUUUUGCUGGAGUCGAAUUCAAUUGUUUUGGAAUAGAUUAUCGGCGAUGUUUAUGCAUAGGGUAGUAAAGAUAGAAAUUGAAAUGUUGCAGACCCCAAUCUGGGUAAGAUGGUAGUUUAUGGCGCUUCUUAUCCUGCCAUCUCCAUGGGUUCAGUGCCAUAACCCCCUUAUCGUCUCAGGUUUGACUAAAUUAUCAGCUAUUGGAUUCUUGGUUUUAAAUUGGACUUUUCUGCUUUCUUGACUCAGGCUUGUCCUUAAGGGCAGGAUACUAGCCUAAGAGCAACCACAGUCACGACUAAUAUUGGGGACUACACCCAAAUUUGGUCCGAAAGCGCAGUAGGACGGACCAUAGGUAUAUUUAGUCUGGAAAACUAAGGUUUGAGACUAAAUGUAGUCGUCAACCCAGACUAAAUCAACAUAUAGUGGGGCGUAAGUAUUGAGAGCAUGUGCGUUUAGGCGAGAGUAUACUGACCGUUUCAUUUUAGGCGUAACGUACGAGAGUUGAGUAGAGAUAAAAUAGGUGUCUGAAUGAGGCGCACUUAUAAAACCCGCCGGGAAAUAUAUAUGCAAUACAUUGUGAGGCGCUAAUAUAAUGUUCGCCUGGUGUGGGGGCGAUGUUUUAAUGUUCGCCUGAUGUAAAUCACACCCCACUACAUGAAGCUAAUAAGUCAGCCCCUCAACAGGCUUGCUUUCUAUCUCCGUGUCACAUCUGGCGUGGGUAAUAAAUACGCCUCACAUUAAGCGGCCACAAUACCUGCGUUCCAUUCACACGGAUACAAUACAUGCGCCUCACCGUCAAGCGCCCAUAAUAUGUGCGUCCAGCUUCAAGCGUUGUUUUAAUGUCCGCUAGACUAAAUUUUAGUCGUUUGCCAUUGCGGUUCACCUCAAAAAAAGCCAAGUUUUUUUAGCUUUUAGUAUGGCAUUUGGUCUUUAGUCCCCCUCAUGACUGUGGUUGCUCUUAGGUGUUAUAAAAAUGCAGGGAAAGGGGAAGAAUGCAUUUGGCAGGACAGCCAUUAGUCUUGAUUCGGGUAUUUUUAGUUUCUAAACACCUCUAUCCCAUUAUACAUUUAAGUGAAAUUUCUUCUUUUAUAAAAUCCCAAAGUUACUUUAAUUGCCGCUUUAUAGGCAUGUCUUAGUGGAUAAGUUUUUUUCUUUUUCAUGAAGCUUAGUAGAUAAAAGCGUAAUCAAAGAGCCUAUGGUUUCACAUAUCGGUAAAGCUCAUCUUCUUUGCUUAUAAAUUUCUUUUGAAAAUUAGUUUAUAAAGUAUACUUAGCACUUAAGGUUAUAAAAAAAAUCCACCAAUACAUGUUAAUAUGCUCUUAGUCUUGCAUUUAAGGUUCAAG
This is a long non-coding RNA of Papaver somniferum (opium poppy), 1674 nucleotides long. RefSeq lists it as uncharacterized. The record is from RefSeq and is a predicted model, not a curated record. Lineage: Eukaryota; Viridiplantae; Streptophyta; Magnoliopsida; Ranunculales; Papaveraceae. The transcript has 3 exons.